Non-coding RNA from Xylariales sp. PMI_506, 87 nucleotides. The record is from the annotation of a GenBank genome assembly. Lineage: Eukaryota; Fungi; Ascomycota; Sordariomycetes; Xylariales.
UCUCGAUUAGUAUAGUGGUCAGUAUGCCAGCUUGUCAUUCGUCGGAAUAACUCGCUGGAGACCGGGGUUCAAUUCCCCGAUCGAGAG